GCCCGGGUGGCGGAAUUGGUAGACGCAAGGGACUUAAAAUCCCUCGCCUUAACAGGCGUGCCGGUUCGAUUCCGGCCCCGGGCACCA
Molecule: transfer RNA, 87 nt
Filed under: Legionellales bacterium
Lineage: Bacteria; Pseudomonadati; Pseudomonadota; Gammaproteobacteria; Legionellales
Also listed under: 1 other name
Description: tRNA-Leu
Rfam family: tRNA
About the family: Transfer RNA (tRNA) molecules are approximately 80 nucleotides in length. Their secondary structure includes four short double-helical elements and three loops (D, anti-codon, and T loops). Further hydrogen bonds mediate the characteristic L-shaped molecular structure. tRNAs have two regions of fundamental functional importance: the anti-codon, which is responsible for specific mRNA codon recognition, and the 3' end, to which the tRNAs corresponding amino acid is attached (by aminoacyl-tRNA synthetases). tRNAs cope with the degeneracy of the genetic code in two manners: having more than one tRNA (with a specific anti-codon) for a particular amino acid; and 'wobble' base-pairing, i.e. permitting non-standard base-pairing at the 3rd anti-codon position.
Source: RNAcentral